This is a long non-coding RNA of Pygocentrus nattereri (red-bellied piranha), 530 nucleotides long. The record is from Ensembl. NCBI's taxonomy places the organism in Eukaryota, Metazoa, Chordata, Actinopteri, Characiformes, Serrasalmidae.
AUCAAAUCAAACAUAGCCAUGCAGUCUCCUUAGACAGACACUGGCAGUAGAAUGGGUCAUACUGAAGGGCUCAGUGACUUUAAACAUGGCACUGUUAUAGGAUGCCAUGUUUACCACAGAAAGUUUGUGAAAUUUCUAGUGUGACAGAUCUUCACCAAACAACUGUAAGUGUUGCAUCACUCACUACAGAGUUCCAAGCUGCCUCGUGAAGCAACAUCAAGAACUGUACUGAAAUGGGUUUCUGUGGAGUGGUGUAAAGCAUAUUGCCACUGGAGCAAUGGAGAAGUGUUCUCUGAAGUGAUGAAUCACGAUACAAAGAGAUGGAUUCGAGUGGCUCUGAGCGACGGACGUCAUGAGGACCCCAAAAAUGAACUGAAAACUUUGAAAAUCAAACACUGAAAACUUAACGUGACGAAGGGCUGGUCCCUUUUCUGCUGCUGUCAGUUUCCCUCUAAUAUACAAGUAGCCUCGUUGUCAAACUGAAGGACUGAAGGAGUUAUCUACUUAAAGCACUGUGAAAAACUACUACG